Long non-coding RNA from Dermacentor silvarum, 492 nucleotides. RefSeq lists it as uncharacterized. The transcript has 4 exons. The record is from RefSeq and is a predicted model, not a curated record. Lineage: Eukaryota; Metazoa; Arthropoda; Arachnida; Ixodida; Ixodidae.
AGUUCGUUAUAAGCAUACCAGAAUUUUUGGUGUUUGGUGACUCUAAUAACGAUGGCAUCUUCGAAUGUCAGACCCUUGAACGAACAGAAGUGAAUGCCGAGAAAACCGAAGCUACCUACCUGCUUAACUUCAAGGGCCGGCAUGGCAGCAAGGUGAAAGAUGUGCCCUUCCACUUAAUUGCUGGAUCAACGCCCGACACUUUCGCUUACACUCCGGAAGACGAUCCGAACUACACUGAAGUAGUCAAGAUCACUUACACCAACUUCAAGAACUGUGGUGUAGCUCAAGGCAAAUACUACGAUGAACGUUGCCUACUGUACGUCACCAAGGAUGUUGCUAAUGAUGUGCCAGCGGAAUGUACGAAAAACUUCGAAGAAAUCUGCGGAGUCUCAUCUUCCUCUAACUGGGAUGACGUAUGUGGAGAAGACGCGUAGACCACGCGGGCAUCAGGAAAGUGACAUAAAAAAAAUAGCCUUAAGACCCGUGAAGUGU